This 122-nucleotide ribosomal RNA is filed under the name Acanthamoeba castellanii. Lineage: Eukaryota; Discosea; Longamoebia; Acanthamoebidae. The record is from RNAcentral. RNAcentral also lists the same sequence under 1 other name.
GGAUACGGCCAUACUGCGCAGAAAGCACCGCUUCCCAUCCGAACAGCGAAGUUAAGCUGCGCCAGGCGGUGUUAGUACUGGGGUGGGCGACCACCCGGGAAUCCACCGUGCCGUAUCCGUUU